AUAAGAUUUUAAUUUUUCUUCAUCUGAAUUGAAACAGAGAAGAUUAGCAUGGCCCCUGCGCAAAUAUUUAGAAUGAUUACAAAAAAGAAUUCACAGUGAA
This 100-nucleotide small nuclear RNA is filed under the name Anopheles minimus. The record is from RNAcentral. Lineage: Eukaryota; Metazoa; Arthropoda; Insecta; Diptera; Culicidae.